RNAcentral lists this ribosomal RNA (439 nucleotides) under uncultured bacterium. RNAcentral's name for it is "partial 16S ribosomal RNA". It matches the Rfam family "Bacterial small subunit ribosomal RNA", at positions 339 to 795 of the family's 1533-position model. The record is from RNAcentral.
CUACGGGGGGCACCAGUGGGGAAUAUUGCACAAUGGGGGAAACCCUGAUGCAGCGACGCCGCGUGAAGGAUGAAGGAUUUCGGUUCGUAAACUUCUAUCAGCAGGGAAGAUAGUGACUGUACCUGACUAAGAAGCCCCGGCUAACUACGUGCCAGCAGCCGCGGUAAUACGCAGGGGGCAAGCGUUAUCCGGAAUUACUGGGUGUAAAGGGUGCGUAGGCGGCUGAUUAAGCCAGAUGUGAAAGCCCGGGGCUCAACCUCGGGACUGCAUUUGGAACUGGUCGGCUAGAAUACAGGAGAGGUAAGUGGAAUUCCUAGUGUAGCGGUGAAAUGCGUAGAUAUUAGGAGGAACACCAGUGGCGAAGGCGACUUACUGGACUGUUAUUGACGCUGAGGCACGAAAGCGUGGGGAGCGAACAGGAUUAGAUACCCCUGUAGUC